This 105-nucleotide ribosomal RNA is filed under the name Clostridioides difficile. RNAcentral describes it as "partial 16S ribosomal RNA". It matches the Rfam family "Bacterial small subunit ribosomal RNA", at positions 1437 to 1533 of the family's 1533-position model. The record is from RNAcentral. Lineage: Bacteria; Bacillati; Bacillota; Clostridia; Peptostreptococcales; Peptostreptococcaceae.
AGCAAUUAGAAGAAGUCGUCGAAGGUGGAAUCAAUAACUGGGGUGAAGUCGUAACAAGGUAGCCGUAUCGGAAGGUGCGGCUGGAUCACCUCCUUUCUAAGGAGA